This 495-nucleotide ribosomal RNA is filed under the name uncultured bacterium. RNAcentral describes it as "partial 16S ribosomal RNA". It matches the Rfam family "Bacterial small subunit ribosomal RNA", at positions 28 to 507 of the family's 1533-position model. The record is from RNAcentral.
GACGAACGCUGGCGGCGUGCCUAAUACAUGCAAGUAGAACGCUGAAGGAGGAGCUUGCUCUUAUGGAUGAGUUGCGAACGGGUGAGUAACGCGUAGGUAACCUGCCUGGUAGCGGUGGAUAACUAUUGGAAACGAUAGCUAAUACCGCAUAAGAGUAGAUGUUGCAUGACAUUUGCUUAAAAGGUGCAAUUGCAUCACUACCAGAUGGACCUGCGUUGUAUUAGCUAGUUGGUGGGGUAACGGCUCACCAAGGCGACGAUACAUAGCCGACCUGAGAGGGGGAUAGGCGACACUGGAGCGGAGACACGGACAAGACUACUACGAGAGGCAGCAGUAGGGAAUAUUAGGCAAUGGACGGAAGUAUGACAGAGCAACGCCGAGUGAGUGAAGAAGGUGUUCGGAGCGUAAAGCUCUGUUGUAAGAGAUGAACGGGUGUGAGAGUGGAAAGUUCACACUGUGACGGUAUCUUACCAGAAAGGAACGGCUAACUACGUG